This 148-nucleotide unclassified non-coding RNA is filed under the name soil metagenome. RNAcentral describes it as "partial internal transcribed spacer 1". The record is from RNAcentral.
UAAUAAGUGUUUUAUGGCACUUUUUAAAUCCAUAUCCACCUUGUGUGCAAUGUCAGGUCGAUCCUUCUUUUAUGGAGGAUCGACCAAACAUCAACCUUUAUUUUUAACUCUUUGUCUGAAAAAUAUUAUGAAUAAACAAUUCAAAAUA